Molecule: ribosomal RNA, 870 nt
Filed under: uncultured bacterium
Lineage: Bacteria
Description: bacterial SSU rRNA
Rfam family: Bacterial small subunit ribosomal RNA
Source: RNAcentral
CAAGUCGAACGGCAGCAUUUUCUAGCUUGCUAGAAAGAUGGCGAGUGGCGGACGGGUGAGUAAUGCGCAGGAAUAUACCUUAAAGAGGGGGAUAACUUGGGGAAACUCAAGCUAAUACCGCAUAAUCUCUGAGGAGAGAAGCUGGGGACCUUCGGGCCUGGCGCUUUAAGAUUAGCCUGCGUCCGAUUAGCUAGUUGGUAGGGUAAAGGCCUACCAAGGCGACGAUCGGUAGCUGGUCUGAGAGGAUGACCAGCCACACUGGAACUGAGACACGGUCCAGACUCCUACGGGAGGCAGCAGUGGGGAAUAUUGGACAAUGGGGGAAACCCUGAUCCAGCAAUGCCGCGUGUGUGAAGAAGGCCUGAGGGUUGUAAAGCACUUUCAGUGGGGAGGAGGGUUGACAGGUUAAGAGCUAGUUAACUGGACGUUACCCACAGAAGAAGCACCGGCUAACUCCGUGCCAGCAACCGCGGUAAUACGGAGGGUGCAAGCGUUAAUCGGAAUUACUGGGCGUAAAGGGUGCGUAGGUGGUUUGAUAAGUUAUCUGUGAAAGCCCUGGGCUCAACCUGGGAAGGUCAGAUAAGACUGUUGAACUCGAGUAUGGGAGAGGGUAGUGGAAUUUCCGGUGUAGCGGUGAAAUGCGUAGAGAUCGGAAGGAACACCAGUGGCGAAGGCGGCUACCUGGCCUAAUACUGACACUGAAGCACGAAAGCGUGGGGAGCAAACAGGAUUAGAUACCCUGGUAGUCCACGCUGUAAACGAUGUCAACUAGCUGUUGGUCAUAUGAAUAUGAUUAGUGGCGAAGCUAACGCGAUAAGUUGACCGCCUGGGGAGUACGGUCGCAAGAUUAAAACUCAAAGGAAUUGACGG